Molecule: RNA transcript, 4442 nt
Organism: Oncorhynchus masou masou (cherry salmon)
Lineage: Eukaryota; Metazoa; Chordata; Actinopteri; Salmoniformes; Salmonidae
Gene: plekho2
Gene name: pleckstrin homology domain containing, family O member 2
Exons: 9
Source: RefSeq, a predicted model, not a curated record
UUGGUGACAGAGACAGUGCGAAGUUUAAAGGCGCUCACUCACAUUUGCACUGCGUGAACACUUGAGAAAAUGGCUAGACUACAUCAAUUUGUUACGGCCUUCACUGCGCCUAAGUGAUUCAGUUCGAUUGACAUACCCUGUCUAUCGACGCGCUGAGGCAUUCAGGGGACUUACCGGAAACCAAACUUUUUCUUCAAACUUGUUUCGUAGCUGAGUCGAACGCGUCGAAAGAGGAAAGAAAGAGACAAGACCGUUCCGCGUCCAAACUUUUACAGUUCCUUAUUUUCUUCCUCAUAUUCGAGUCAUGUUGGAUAAUAGUUGGUUGCUGUCUAAAAUAAGUGAAAUACUGACUUUUUGUCAAGAAUAACGGCCGCCUUCGAGUGUUAUUCCUCCACACAUAGUAUAACGGAUAUUCGUUUUUAUCAUGGAAGACGAAGUGAAAGAGGACCCCACCAGGCCCAACGAGGACCCCACCAGGUCCAAAGAGACCAUGUCCACAUGGAAGGCCGGUUGGGUGAAAAAGGCCUCAGGCAGGUUCCUGGCCAGCUAUAAGGACCGCUACAUCCAGGUGGAGAGGACAGAGCUUGUGGUGUACGAGAAUGAGGACCUUGCAACCUACUUGGAGAAAGUGGACCUGGAAAACUACGAUAAGUGUCAGGAGUUGAGGAGCGCCUUCGGGAAGAAGAAUAGACUGGUGUUGAUACGAGCGGCCAGAUCAGGGAAUAAGGUCCAUGAUGUCAAGUUCCAGGCUCAGAACCCGGAGGAGAAGGAGGCUUGGAUUAAGGCCUUUAGUGACGGCAUCAACAGAGCAAAGAAUAAGAUAUUUGACGAGGUGAAGGUAGAUGAGACCAGUCAGUUGGAGCACGCAACACGCACAAGGCCGAAAGGAAACCGUAACAGAAGACCACCGACCAGGAUACACAUGAAAGAGGUUGCCAACGUCUCAUCAGACGGCAUUCUCCGGCAUGACCUGGACGUGGUGGAUGCCAGCAUCCCCAACGGGACACACCAGAUCACCACAGACACCACUGAGACUCACAAAAAGUCUGUGAAGCCCCCCAUGCCCCCCACGUCCAAACCCAGCGAGGCCCCAGAGGAGUGUCAGACCACCCAGAGCCCUGACGAAGGUCUGCCAUCUGAAACGGAGCCCAGUCCCCAGAAGGUCCUGAAGCCCCCCAUGCCGCCCUCCAAAGAGGCCAAGACGGCUGCUGCUUCUGCAGGGGACCAACUCCCUGAUGAGACGAGCACUGACAGAAGCCCAGAGAAAAAGGUCCUGAAGCCUCCUAUGCCGCCCUCCAAAGAGGCCAAGCCCACAGUGUCUGCCGAGGACCAACCACCUGGGGAGACCAGCCCUGAGAAAAAGGUCCUGAAGACGCCCAUGCCACCCUCCAAAGAGGCCAAGCCCACUGCUCCAGCCGGAGACCAACCCCCCAGGAACACCAGCCCCGAGGGCAGCCCAGAGCAGGGCUUCGAGUCAGCACCACCGCCCACCCCUCCCGGCAAACCAAUUGGUGGCUCCACAGACAACCUGGCCGAGGCCUCCCAAUCCAGCCAGGAACACAGGCCGCCCACCCCACCAUCCAAAGACAAGAAGCCCACUCAGACAGCCGUGCAGGAGAGUACAGAGGAGGCUAGUGGGAUAAGGAAUAAAGGUGAAGAGGAUGAAGUAGAGGAGAAGGAGGAAGAGGGUUCUGAAACCAUUGCAUCUGACGUUCAACAAAUCAGUAUCCUUGAGGGGGCUGAGGAUGAGGAGGAGUCUCCUUCCUCUCUGCUUACAACACCCAUGACCCCCCUAGAGGUCAAAGUUGAACCCUCUGUGACUGACCACCCAGAGGUCACCAGCACCAUAGAAGAAGAGACGCAGAAAGUUGCCAAGCCCAUGGCUCAAGAACAAGAGUCUGCCCCUAGUGGUGGAGUGGAUAUAUCCCCCAAUGAAGAACCUCAGACAAUGAAGUCUUCCCAACUCACAGUAACGCCGUCAGUUCAGACACCGGAGCCAAUGAAAAAGAGCCCUGGCCCUCCCGGACCUCCCACAAAGAAGAAGCCUGUCGUCCUCCCUCCUCCCAAAGCAGUGGUGGUGGCUCAAGACGUCCACCUAAUCGAGCCUAAGAACCAAGCGACAGACAAAACCAAGAACAUCAUCAUCACCACCACACCAGGAGAGAAACUCAACUCUAUCACUUCACCAACACCAGCCGUGGUGACCACAACCAGUCCAACUGAAGAAACAGAGGACCUGAAAGUUCCUGUGGUCGUUGAGACUAAGUCUGAGUUCCCAGUCGUAGUUCUCUCUCUGAGUGACCCUGAGCCAGACCGCUCCUGCUCCAGCCCCGUGUCCUGCCACCUCUCCCCGGAAAAGAAGAGUGAGCGUGAAGAGGAAAAGUCAGUCGACAGCGGCCAACACUCUGACAUCGAUGUCGAUGAAGAAUGGUCAGAGAGCAGGGACACUUUGGCAGCCUCCACCGCUGCCCUAAUGGGCAGCCAAGCUGGCCUGGACGCGCUGAUGGAUGAGAGUCCAGACGGAGACACGGAGACCCCUGGCAGCUUGGGACUCAGCACUGUGGAGGACUGCCCUUCUACGACCCAGACCCCCCAGGACAAUCACUCUGGCCUACACUCCACCUUCCUCCAGGUGAGGGUCAGUCAGGCCUCCCAUUGUCCCCCCAUCCCCUUCAAACCCUUAGCCAAGCUCAUGUCCACCUCUUUGGGGGAUCUCCUCUCUGAGGCCUCAUUGGGUGAAAACAUGAAACUGCCAAUCACAGACGUGGCCGUGACAAAGGCCACCGUGGGUCCUCAAAACUUAACAGAUCUUGAAAAUGAAGUGGCCCUGGAGCUGGAAAAUACAGAGGAGCUCCUGGGGAGCGUCGUCCCCAAAGGGAGCACCGAGGUUGGGCAGAACCCGGCCCUAGCGGGGGGCAAUAGCCUGGAGGACAGGUCGCCGGAGGAGCUGCUAGCCAGAGCCAUGGAGAAGCUGAGGAAAGCAGACCAGUUCCUCAGGCAGGCCAAGUGUAUAAAAGACUCAAAACAUUCUGAGAAUACUGCCAAGAGAAACAGCUGGUGAUUGUUAAAUAUGAAGGAGAAGUAGGGAAAAUGUAUUGAUUAAGGGUGAUGGAAAGUAGUAGCUUGGAAGGACGACAGGUGUUUUCUUAUUCUGGCUGAUUAUGCAGCAUAUUUAUGCAAGUGUUCUGCUGAGAUUUAGCGAAGUGCAAUUUUUUCAACUUUCACUUUUCUCCUGCAAAUGGAGGUUGAUUGUACUUUUUGUACUUAAAAAUUUAUUUUUACAUUCCACAUUGAUCAUCAUCACUUUCCCAAGGAUAUUUACUUGAAUAUUUACAACCCCCGAUCAAACUUUUUAAUGAUACGUUUAAGGAUGUUUCAAAAUGACGUAAGUCUUAGGGGAUGUCGGAAGAGCCUGCAACUUUUUGUAAUCCACGUUUUGAAUGGAUACAGAUUGGUUUCCUCUGUAAUCCUUACCAAUCAAACCAUGAUGACAUUUGAAGUAAUCGUGUUCAUGUAGUUGUAGUAAUCAUGUAUGAGUAGGGUUGUGUUUAUGUAGUUGUAGUAAUCAUGUAUGAGGUGGGUUGUGUUUAUAUAGUUCAUGAAAAUAUAAUUUUCUUGAGAAGUUAUUUGUCUUGAAUAACUACUUCCAAGUGUUAAAAGAAUAUUCAGGGCUUUUAUAAAAUGUCUGAGACAAGCUCUGCCAGUCCAAAUCUCAAUGGCAGGAUGUACAUCAAAUUUGACAACACACCUAUUUUACAAGCCUCCCUUCUGACCGCUAAGGGCCCCAUUUAUUCAACAUUUGCACUUUACAUCAGGUAUCAAUAUUGCACAGUAAGUUUACCAUAGGGAAUUGGACAUAAAUGGUUAAAUAAAAAGGUAAGAAUAAAGGUUCAGAAAGUGAAUCAUUUAUCAAGUAUAAAUUAAGACAGUUCGCUGUUGAAGCUUUGGUGUUUCAUCCAUUAAAAACAGGUGCAAACUUUUCACCAGUUCCAAAUGCAUAGCAAAUGUGACCUUAACUCUGUUCUGGCAAAUACCUAUCAGGCUAGGUUUAUAUACCAUUUCACAAAAGGUUUCAGACUGCACAUUGCAAAACAGGAACUACACUCUUAGAAAGAAAUCUAGAACCUAAAAGGGUUCUUUGGCUGUCCCAAUAAGAGAACCCUUUGAAGAACCAUUUUAGGUUCCAGAAAGAACCCUUUUGAUUCCAGGUAGAACCCUAUUGGGGUCCAUGUAGAACCCUUUCCCAGAAGAACCCAAAGAGUUCUACCUGGAACAAAAAAAGAGUUAUCCUAUGGGACAGCCAAAGAAGCCUUUUGGAACCCUUUUUUCUAAGAGUGUAGGUGGUAUGAUGACUGAGCUACUGUAAAAGUGAGUACAGAACUUAUGAUGCCUACUCUCACCUAGCCCCAAUAAUGUUGUGUUGUAUCUACUCUCACCUAGCC